ACCAGAUUCCUGAUAGGCAGACACCGAGGGAUGGAAGGCCAAAUUGUGAAAAGCUAAAUCCUUUCUGCAAAGCGGGAGCGGACUCCUGUGGCUGGUUCCCUGGAGCACGACCUAGGAACUGCCGUUACGUGCUCUGCGCGAUAUGAUGCCAACUGAAACUUGCUACAAAAUAACCCACUUGGGUAUCUGUUGGAGGAAGCAGAACAAAGGAAACAAUGUUGAUUUGAUGCUGUUCUAUGACUCAAACUACCUCCGUCACAAGCUGGUGCAAGAGGUGGCACCUACACCCCCCAGAGGGCCUGUAAGAGCAUGACCCCAGUCUCACCCAGUCUCACUGAGUAAUAGAAGUCAGUGCAACUUGAUCCUUUUUUUCAGCUCUGGAAGGUGCAGCCUCCUUGGCCCUGCUCUGCCUUGCCUGGUCCCACAGCCAGACUGGAGUGAGGAGCACCUCCCUCAGACAGAUGCCAUGCCAGCACUCUGCCUUGCAGAGGCAUCAUCCUCUGCCAGAAGCCCAUGGAAGCCUCAGAGCCACAGGAGCAAAGUCUCUCUCAGAGGAAGACACUGGGGUGCAAGGUAUCCCCUGUGCAGCCGCCAAGUUCACCACUUGCAAAAGCACAAUAUCACUUCCUCAUCAGUGGGGCCCAUCUGUUCCCCAGAGGCAUCCUCAGCUGGAGCAUGCCCACCAUCUGAGUGCCCUGACUGCCUGCAAAGGAUCCACGACCAGAGCAUGCAACUGAAGCUGUAACUCAGCGCAGGGGAUGGAAACUCCCGCCUGGACCCAUGCAGCAGGCAGAGCAUAGCCUGUGCCCCAUAAGAAAAAUGAGAAGAGGACCCAGGAUGCAAGCAUGAGUGGAGUGGCUGCCAUCCAUAAGACUCUUCAAAAGAGGCUUGCAGACAAGGAGAGGCAGCACUCCUCUUCACAGCCCCAAGCUUUAUAUCUCAGCAGCUCUUCCCAACAAAAGUACGAACUUAAACUCUCCUGGCCCCUGAAUUAGAUCAACAGGAUGUACAAUUUUGGUUGUAAUUCAGCCUUUUUUGAGAACUCUCAAUUCUCAUCUCUACAUUGACACAACUGGAAAGUCUGAAUACCAAAUAGAGCAUUUACUUCUGCCAGACAUACUCACAGGAGGGUCCAGUUGGCAGUGUAUCUAACAGUACUCUGGGUGAGGGUUUUUCCCUCCCAGCCUUGCUCCUGUAAGAACAGCCAGUAAGCACACCAGCUGUACAAGAUGGAAUGACACAAUGCUUAUGAGAGGGGCACACACAAUACUCAACCCACAUGAACCUAGAAAAUGAGCAAUCCAAAACAAGAAUGAGCCAGCUUUUUAGGAACUGAUGGGGACCAACAUCCAAGAGACUAUUAAGUGAAACAGCAAGGUGAAAACAGUACACUCGUGUGCUGCCAACUGAGAAUGCCCAGUAGUGGUGUUGGGCAGAGACAGAGUGGGUCCCAACUCUGAUAUAAGGAAGAUCAGCCACCAACCUGAACCCUGCUUCUCCAUAAGCUGGGAAACCGGGGCAGAUUAAGUCCGUAGGUCCUGAAUGGCACACUGACCUCAGUCCUUAGAGAUUCUGUGUUCUCAAGGGGUAAGCCAGGGAUGCCCAGCACAAUCACUGUUGAGCUCCUCUAUGAUCCUAGUGCGGUGCUAGGAGGCCACCCGUCCCAACUUGUUAUCCCAGUCCACACUCCUGGGCUGUGUGUGUGGCUCAGAGUAAUGGCAGUGGGCAAAAGGAUCUUCUCAGUGGACAUUCCUACAACAGGGGCCACAGUGGAGAAAACCAAGGCCACUGUCACCCAUGGAACAGGAGGGUAAGCCUGGAUAUUCUGUUUCAGACAUCAAUGCAAGAUGGGACAAAUAUACCCUACAACCCAGCAAUUCCACUCCAGGGUAUGUAUCAACAGAAACAUGAGUACCAAGAAUGGUGGGGUCAGCAUGCUGAGAACAACCACAACUGAAAAACACCUGCAUGGCUACGGCCAAAGUGUAAGUGAUGCCUAAAUCAUGACUUAGCUAUUCAAUAUAAAACAAAGGAACUAAUGCUACACACAACAUCAAAGAUAAAUCUCAAAAUUGUCAUGUGAUAAGCCAGAAACAAAAGAAUACAUUCUAUACUGGAGUGCAAGACUUCUUAAUGGUGACAGAAGUGGAGGAAGUGGGGUCAGGGAGAGAAGGAGGUGGGGGAAGGGUGGAAAGUGAUCAGGAAAUAGAAUAAGAGUGGCCUCUAGAGAAAUACUCUAUUUCUUGAUCUGACCAGGGUGGGGGUUACUUGGAUACACUGACUUCAUAAACAUUCAUUGAAAUGUAAAACUUACACCUUGAGUACUUUCUUUGUAUGUAUGCUAUCU
Pipistrellus kuhlii (Kuhl's pipistrelle) is the source of this 2347-nucleotide long non-coding RNA. RefSeq lists it as uncharacterized. The transcript has 3 exons. Lineage: Eukaryota; Metazoa; Chordata; Mammalia; Chiroptera; Vespertilionidae. The record is from RefSeq and is a predicted model, not a curated record.